Molecule: ribosomal RNA, 489 nt
Filed under: uncultured bacterium
Lineage: Bacteria
Description: partial 16S ribosomal RNA
Rfam family: Bacterial small subunit ribosomal RNA
Source: RNAcentral
ACUCAAAUGAAUAGACGGGGAGGCGCACAACCGGUGGAGCGUGUGGUUCAAUUCGAGACGAAGCGAAAAACCUCACCAGGGUUUGAAACGCUAGCGUCCUAUGUUUAUGAAAGUAGACAAAUUCGCAAGAAGGCUAGUACAGGUGUUGCAUGGCUGUCGUCAGCUCUAGGCGUGAGCUGUAGGCUUAAGUGCCAUAUAGAGCGCAACUCUUGUCCAAUGUUAAAUAGUCAUUGGAGACAGCCCCGAUUAUGUCGGGGAGGAAGGAAAGCACGACGUCAAGUCAGCACGACCCUUAUACCCUGGGCUACACACACACUACAAUGGCGAAUAACAACGAGUCGCAAGCCGGUAACGGCAAGCUAAUCUCUGAAAUUUCGCCUCAGUUCAGAUUGGGGUCUGAAACCCGACCCCAUGAAGUCGGAAUCGGUAGUAAUCGCGGAUCAGCAUGCCGCGGUGAAUACGUUCUCGCCUCUUGCACACACCGCCCGU